Molecule: long non-coding RNA, 1045 nt
Filed under: Chrysemys picta bellii (western painted turtle)
Lineage: Eukaryota; Metazoa; Chordata; Testudines; Emydidae
Description: lncRNA (ENSCPBG00000007118.1)
Source: RNAcentral
AAAGGAUGCCUAUGGAAAUGUAUCUAACAGUGAAUAUUUAGAAUCAGUAAACAUUCUAAUUGGUUACUUUAUUAAAACAUUUAGUUGUGUAAUUAGACAGUUUAUGUUAGCAAUGCAUUGAAGAACUGAAAUGAGGAGGUGAUCUUUUCUGGCCUAAUGUUAUUAAGUAAACAAAGUAAGUUGGACUCUUUCUCAUCAUUAUAUCAGAUUAUAAAUGCAUGAGUAGACAUUGACAUAUACGUUGAGUUGACAAAAUAAAAAGCCUUUUUAGCUCCAAUUAGUUCUCAGUUAAAUUGUCCCAACAAUGGUGUCAGGCAUACAGCACCAAUAAGUUGUCUUUAAACCUGCCUAAUUUCCUUAAUUCUCCCUUUCACUAUUAAUAAAAAUUCAGACAUGAAAGUGUUAACAUUUCCUUUGAAAUUACUCCUAUUUAAGAAGAAAAAUCAUAUUACUUUCUUAAUCUUUCUAAUUCUAUUCUCAUAAGAUGAUCUUGGAUUUGUUCCUUUAACACUGACUCUUAGUACAGUCCUGAUUUCUGUAUUAAUGAAUUGAGAAGAUGGCAUGAGGCUCUUAGAAUAAGGAAUUUCUCAUAUAAAAGAUUGUGACUUUAAGUAACUUGUAGAGAAUUAUCCUAAGAGUGUCUUAGAUUUUAAAACACUGCUGCAGUGUUGUUUACCAUGGUGAGAAUUCAGGAGCAAAGAUUGGGGAUGUCUUUCCCAGGAAGAUGUGCGUUAUUAUGGCUGAACCUGCCCAAUGCUGAGAGAAAUUUUCAGAAGUUACACCAUAGAUAUCGGCUAAAGAAGAUUGAAACUGGAGAGGGAGCUCUCACCACACCAACCUAUAUGACAGUGCUACCACCCCAGGAAUAAAGUGUGUUCUUCCAAGGUGAAGAGGGGAGAUCUCCCACUCCUUUUAACAGCAUAGCUUUCCUUUACUUUAAACCUUGUCAACACAGAAUUUGGCCCAUCAGUCCCCUGACAUGGGGUGAGGUGGGGGGAAACUAGAUUGAAAUAAAAGGAGAUUGACAGGGUUGAUUUCCUUCCUG